CUUUUCUUUGUUCCUUCAAAUCACAACUCUGUUAUAUUUGAAGACGGUGGAUCGCGGCUUCCACUCUUCAAGCUUCCAUCGAUACAGAAGGAAAACAUAGAUCUUGAUGCAUGUAUAUUCAUCUUGGAGCUUUGAAAGGAGAAGAUGAACCUUCCCAAUGAGUGAGAGAACUUGAAAGCAAA
Molecule: long non-coding RNA, 182 nt
Organism: Arachis stenosperma
Lineage: Eukaryota; Viridiplantae; Streptophyta; Magnoliopsida; Fabales; Fabaceae
Exons: 3
Source: RefSeq, a predicted model, not a curated record